GAUGAACGCUGGCGGCGUGCCUAAUACAUGCAAGUCGAACGCAUUGAGAGAAGUGCUUGCACUUUUCAACUUGAGUGGCGGACGGGUGAGUAACACGUGGGCAACCUACCUGAUAGCGGGGGAUAACGAGUGGAAACAUUCGCUAAUACCGCAUAACAAUAGAGAAGGCAUCUUCUUUAUUUAAAAGGCGCUUUCAAGCGUCACUAUCAGAUGGGCCCGCGGUGCAUUAGUUAGUUGGUGGGGUGAAGGCCUACCAAGACGAUGAUGCAUAGCCGAGUUGAGGGACUGAUCGGCCACAUUGGGACGGAGACACGGCCCAAACUCCUACGGGAGGCUGCAGUAGGGAAUCUUCCACAAUGGACGAAAGUCUGAUGGAGCAACGCCGCGUGUGUGAUGAAGGCUUUCGGGUCGUAAAGCACUGUUGUAUGGGAAGAAAUGCUAGGCUAGGAAAUGAGCUUAGUUUGACGGUACCAUACCAGAAAGGGACGGCUAAAUACGUGCCAGCCGCCGCAGUAA
Molecule: ribosomal RNA, 516 nt
Filed under: uncultured bacterium
Lineage: Bacteria
Description: partial 16S ribosomal RNA
Rfam family: Bacterial small subunit ribosomal RNA
Source: RNAcentral